RNAcentral lists this long non-coding RNA (855 nucleotides) under Bos indicus x Bos taurus (hybrid cattle). RNAcentral describes it as "lncRNA (ENSBIXG00005003926.1)". The record is from RNAcentral. Lineage: Eukaryota; Metazoa; Chordata; Mammalia; Artiodactyla; Bovidae.
CCCCCUUUGAGGGUCUCUAGCUGACUGCUACUUCAAUCAAGACAAUGCUGUCAACUCAGUGCCGAAUGUGGCCCAUGAUCUCUGGUGGCCAGGCACUUCCUGGGGAAAGGUGACCCGGCAGGUGUGAGCCGGCGGCGGGAAGGGACCAGACACAGCUCUGCCCCAGCAGCCCGCCGGGCUCUGCUCACCGUCUGCUCCCCACGCCGAGGUCCUUUGGAGUCUCCAUGGAGGUUAGUGGCUGUGAAGAUGGCUUCCCCCCAUCUGUGUCCUCUGGGUCUUGUGGGAAAAAGGCACCAAGAGCUCCGUGGGUGUGCACCCGUGACAGUAGAGGAGACAGGCACCUGACAACCGUGACCCCAGGCCUGGAGCCGCCAGGCCCCUGGAGGGAAGGAGCAUGCUUGCCAGAUGAAGACUUCAGAAUGCUGGUCGUUCCAUGAGAGCACAGUCCGGAUGUUGGAGGGAGAGGUGUGUCAUUCCCGGCGGAGGGUCGUCGUGUUCCCGUGGACUCUGCGGCUCUUACCCACAGGUCUGUGGCACCGUGCUGCGGGGCUCCUUGUCUCCUGCGGCCUGUGUCUGGGGGCCGGGAGUGCACCAUCUGACACCCUCGGGGCUGCCCUGAUGGUUCCGGCUGGGCAUGGCCUAUUUCCCGGAGGGGCUCAGGAAUGGGUGAGUCCUGCCGUCUCUGCCCUGGAGUAGUUCACCACUGUUUGCACUGGACAUUUUCUCCAAAUGGGGAUGGAAUGAAACGGUCUGCAUAACCAUGCUCAGGCCACAAAUGCUAUGAUUUGUCUGUUUCUCGUUGAAUGUGUGUUGUUUAGGAAGGAGAACACAGAAAUAAAAAUCUUGUGUAUAUCA